UCUCUCCUUCCUCUGUCAUUUGCUUUGCUCUUUACAUUCUAUUCAUUCUUCUUUUCUAUUCUGGAUCUUUAUUUUCUAUUUUACUCUCACCCUUUCUGUCUCUGUCCACCACCUUUUCUCUCUUCCCCCUGAUUCAUCUUGACCUUUGGAGACAUCUCUGAGUGUGUAUUUUUGUGUGUAUGUGUGUGUGUGUGUGUGUGUGUGUGUGUGUGUGUGUAUGAGAGAGUGUGCAUGUGCUGUGUGUCUGCCUUACUAGGAUAUUCAGCAAUUUCUCAUUGACUUUCUGAUGAAGAUGAGGAUGAGGAGAGACAAACUGGACUGUCCAUGAGGUCUGGGGUCAGCUUACUUACACAUCUUUUAGGUCUAAGACGCAGGAUUGAGAAACAGUUUCACCACAGGACUAUCAGACUGGUUUCCACCACAUUCACCCAUCCUGACAAGCGGUGGGGAAACCACCCCAGCAAAGCUCAUCUGUUGAGAUGUUGCUGAGGCACUUUGUGGUUAUGACCUCAUCAUCAUGAGAUGGAAAGGCUGGUGACUGCAGGCAGCUACAGAAGAGGUGGUGCUGUGUUGUGGUUUGCAGCUGCUGGUUCUUGGCAAAAUAAAUUGCACUGUGGAGAUGCCUCAGGGAAUUAUUUGCUCAAAGGUUGAAAGGAUGAACAAAAAAAGGAAUUCAAGAGGUAUUUGUGAUUCAGACUGUGUUUGUCUGUAGUUGUGACUUAGAUGUAUCUCAGAUCAAAUUUCGUAAUCGAUGGAGAAACUGUUUUUAAAAAAAUAUUUAUUUAUUAUUUUUAAUCAGAAAUAUCUUUUUACACCAGCGAUUAAGUUCCACAGUUUAAGGACUAACUGGUCUGGUUGACUGACACUGCUGAGUAACACUACAGUGUUUUAAAACCAUUAACAGGCUGCCAUUCAUGGGGCGAGUGGGCUUCAUGGCUAUUGUCACACAUUACAACCACGUAGUAAAAUUUUAAAAAGUCGUUAUUGCUGAGAACAUGUCAUUCAUCAGAAAUGUGCACACAUUUUACAUGAUAGGAACUGUUUUUUCCCCACUUCUCCUGAAAUAUACUACAUCAGGAAAAAAUGGUUUUUACCCUAAAAUUCGCAUGUUUUGAGCAGGGUUUUGAAAAAUUUUCCACUAAUCCGUCCUGAGUCAUAGGUAUGACUUCAGCAAUGUUAGGGAACUUCUUUAGAUGGUGUUAAAGAGCUUAACAGGAGCCUCCUUGUUGGAAUGUAAUGACUCCGCUUCUGUUUGGAGAAACCCCAGAUCUAAAGAGCUCCUCUUUUCUGUGUUUUAAGAGAAAGACAUACUCCUCUCUUUUCUACUUUUUAAAUGUAUCCAUACUCUGGCAUUCAUAGGAAUUGGCAUUAACACGAGUGGAUAGAAACUACGUGAAAAAUGAGUCAUGCCUAGAAAACCCUGACCUUAGAAAAUGUUGAUAUACACUAAUUUAUGUGCUUUGGGGUCCUUAGGGACUAGAAAAGCGCUAUACAAAUGCAGGCCAUUUACCAUUUACCAUUUAUUCCCUUAACUAUAUAAAGAUUGGUGCCUGAAUUUUUUUUUCUGUAUGUGUAAGAUUUGUAACAUGUAACAUUUCCAUUCUACAACAUGCAGUGGGAAGACUACAUGUAGUCUUGUACCUACAAUCUUGAAUUUCAAGGCCUGAUGUGGAUGCUUGUCUCACCUACUUUUUCCCUGUACUUGUUUUGCUCUAACAUUACCAUUAAUUAAUAAACUAAUUAUCUAGCCUAUGGAAUUGAUACAUUUGGCUGUUAAUUAUUAAAAAAGAAGCAUACACUAUUCUUAUGGGCCAAUCAAUAAUCUAAAAGAAGCUUUGACAAAUCAACACUUUUAAUAGUCAAUUAAUAGUCAAUAUAUGACCCCACACCCCUGCACACACACACACACACACACACACACACACCACACACACACACACACACACACACACACCGCACACACAUAGAAAAAAAACAUGAAAACGUGACUUGGUUUAGUUUGACCUCUGUUACAUUGAGGCAGUGAUAUUUGAGUGCUGAGCAGGAAGCAGGUUCUCAUAGCCCUGUCUUUUUCCCCAUGUUGAAAAUGGUGGCACAGAAUGUAAGAUUGUAAUGUAUGAAGUACCAAGGAAAUUUUGCUAUGAAAUAAAAAAAUGUAAUAAAAUGCAGUUUUUCUUAAGAGUCAUGGAGUUUUCAGGUAUCAUGUUUAGGAAAUGCUUCAGUGAAGUGACACUUUUUAAAGCAAGUGGGUGAUUGAUCGGUGAACUGAGGAGUUUAAUGUGGCAUGGACAUUCAGGUUCAGGUGUAAUUUCUCGCACAAUAUGCCGAUCAGUAUGGUACAUACAAGAGAGUGGACAGGAAAAGAGCUCAGUUUGUUCAUAUGGGUAAUGCAGACGAAAAAAAUACAUUUGCAGUGUGUGUGUGUGUGUGUGUGUGUGUGUGUGUGUGUGUGUGUGUGUGUGUGUGUGUGUGUGUGUGUUUGUGUAUUGUAAAAGGAACCGUGUAAACUUAAAAGAGGGACAAAGACCAAAGAAGGAAGAGUGCAUGUGAAAAAGAGAAAGACAAAGUGGUGAGAGAGGGCGUAUAUCUUUAGCUGCCUAUAAAGCUCUGCGUGCUUCUCAUUUUAGGCAGAAGUGAAUCCUGGCUGUAAGAAAUGAUGACAAUACACUAAUAAAGCAUCUCAAACUGA
Maylandia zebra (zebra mbuna) is the source of this 2689-nucleotide non-coding RNA. The record is from RefSeq and is a predicted model, not a curated record. NCBI's taxonomy places the organism in Eukaryota, Metazoa, Chordata, Actinopteri, Cichliformes, Cichlidae.